This 168-nucleotide ribosomal RNA is filed under the name uncultured bacterium. Its description in RNAcentral is "partial 16S ribosomal RNA". It matches the Rfam family "Bacterial small subunit ribosomal RNA", at positions 11 to 176 of the family's 1533-position model. The record is from RNAcentral.
GUUUGAUCCUGGCUCAGGAUGAACGCUAGCUGGCAGGCCUAACACAUGCAAGUCGAACGGUAAGGCUCAGCUUGCUGAGUACACGAGUGGCGCACGGGUGAGUAACGCGUAUGUAACCUACCCUUGACAGGGGGAUAGCCUGGAGAAAUUCGGAUUAAUACCCCAUAA